RNAcentral lists this unclassified non-coding RNA (360 nucleotides) under Axinaea wurdackii. RNAcentral's name for it is "partial contains external transcribed spacer and small subunit ribosomal RNA". Lineage: Eukaryota; Viridiplantae; Streptophyta; Magnoliopsida; Myrtales; Melastomataceae. The record is from RNAcentral.
GUCUCCGGCAUCGAACUGCGUGGGUCUAUCUAUUUCACAGGUGGUUUCGCCUCGGCGUUUUAAUGGCCGGUUGCGACCUCUCGUUUGGUUCCUGUGCUCGAUAUCGAAUUCGGUAGUUGGAUGGAUUGUUCUUCCCCGUCAUGGUUUACUGAUCCCCCCGCGCCUCGUGCGGCGGCGGCGGAUAUUGUGCGGGCAUCGACGUUUCCCUUUCUAGCCGUUGUACCCCGUUUGGAGCUUCGGCUUGUGAUGGCACGUAAGAUGCUACCGACACUAUCGGGUACGGAGAUUUUUUGGCCACCGCAUCGGCCUUCGACCCUUGCGAACGUAAUGUAUCGAAGCUCUCUCGCUUCUGAAUGUACG